GUGAAAACUACGACUUUUGCCGAUGUUUCCAACAUCGGCAAUGUUGGGGUGAUGUAAUACCGAGUAAGAAUUACGCCCCUUAUUGUAAACAAUCAUGGCGACUGGCAGACAGCUGUGGUCGAUUCAAAAAGGUGAAAGACCGGUAAUCACACCAAAAUAUUAAAAUCAAACGUGCUCAUCCACCACAACUACCCAGCUUGCCAUGUUUACUUUGGUGAUCCUUGCAAGGACGACGACUGUCCUCUUUUUCGAAACACCAAACUCGGCAAAUACGCAAGCAGAGAUGGAAGGAAGAGCGAAGGAUGGUCGAGCUCGGGGAACUUCUCUCCAAUCUCGUCGCUUGCAAAUUGGGCCCUAUUCCAUUAACGUAUGGGAAUAUUGUCGGCGAGAUGAGGAAAGGACUUAGCGGCUGUUUGUGCGUGAAAUGUCAGACAAUGUGGGCAAAUAAACAUGGUUCCAUACGGGAAGACGCACAGGGAGAAGAAGGGGAAGUCAGGGAUGCCAUGUUUUGUUAUCAACACAAAGCUUGGAACAGCUAUGAUCGAUAGCGUUGGGGGACCAGACAGGAUGAAUAAUCUCCUUUCAACAUUAAAUAUCAAACCAGAGAAGUUUAAAAAGCAUGGAACGGAGGGAUGGAGGCUAUGUUGAAGCUGUUGCCAAAGAGUCGACUCAACAGGCUGCAAAUGAUUCAUUUAGAAUGGAGAUGGAAUGAUUGAUGUCAUCCCAUUCCUCUACUGUACCAGUAGCUGAUGCUAGUUCUGAUGAUGAAAGUGGACAUUCUGACCAGACUCCUUAAGCAUCUAACAUUGAAAGUCUACCAGUCUCAUCUUCAAACAGGUCUUAUUGAUAGCCUACCUGUCUUCAAGGCCGUUCCUGGACAAUCAUCAUACAAGCAAGAAAAUCUAGCCAAGACCUUUUUGCACUCAUCAUAUGAAGCACACAAUGCCAUAGAAGAUGUAAAGGUCCUUGGUAAGCUUGAAUCUCAUACAAAGAUGAAAAUUCAGGAACUUGCUAGGUUUAGUUUCCCACCAUCAGCAGUCCACAAUCUACUUCUCUUCAACAAAGAAAAGGCCAAACACAUCAAAACACUCCAUUCUCUCUUAGCCGAAGGGGUCAUGAAAAUGUCAAUUGCCGAGAAAAUUGCCAGAUCAGGACUGAAUCUUGGUCACCUGCGCAAAAAUUUUCAGCGUGAUAGAGAAGAUGGUCUUGGCAAUACAGAUGUAAAGAAAACCCUUGCGGAUGUCAUUCCGAAAUUAGUCCUCUUUCUCAACAAGGACUAUACCAAGCUUACAAUCUGGUUGUGUGUAAGGGAUGGUUUGGUGACAUGCAUUUGAUACAUGUAUUGUUCUCAUUAUAGUACACAUAUUCAUUUUUAUCCCCUCUGCAUAUAAUGCGGUUGGAUAUUGUCAUCUGAUCUGUCUGUCCAUCCAUAUUUUCGGAGCAUACUUGAAGACUGUGAGAUAUGUUUUAUUCGAAUUUGGUUCAAGUAUUAACAAGGGGAUUAAGUGCUGCCUUUUGCUAUUUAGGGAAUAAUUAUUUUAAAAAAUUUUUUGUUCCUGUUUUCACGUUUUUUUACUUUGACUCUGUUUAGCAUGGUUUAUGGUGGUUUGUUUGUGCAGCCCAUAUCUCUAAAACUAAUAGGUAAAAAACUAGGCUUAAAACUGUGCACACACAAAGACCAGGUUGUCAACAGGUGCCUUUUUCUAAUAAACCUUUUUUAUUUUUUUAUAUAUUUUUUGUUUCCAUGGCAACAAGUUUGAUUUUGACUCAUAGUGGUGUGUACCUGACACAGAAAUACAAAGUUCCGAAUCCCAAUUCCAUCUUAUUGUUUUGAUAGCACAAUAACUACUCUUUUAUACGGACAGACACAUUAAAUGGAAACAGAUGAUUUGUUCUUUCAAAUUUGUCAUCUUCUGAUGGUUAUGUUAGUCAGAAAUUGUUUCUGUGCAGGUCUGACUGAUAAACUUGAUGUUGAUGUAUAUGUGAAAAUAGAAAUGCUUGACGACAUGCUUUUGUUGUCUCUGGGUGCAGAUGUUCAUGACCAAAAAAAGGUGAUUAUGAUACUUGGGAAUACAUGAUACUGUCUCUUUGAAUUUUAGAGAAACACCUUAUGUAUAUAUAUGUACUAGACACAUACGCUCUUCUGCUCCCAAUUUGUACAUUGUAAAUUGUGUAUUCAUGAGUACUGUAUUGCAUGCUUUCAGUGUAUAUGGUCACGUAAUAUAGAUAAUGUGUUGUAAAGAGUGUAUUUGUCUAUCUAUCAUCUUCACUUUCAAAUCUGUUAGUAAUACAGAAAUGUAUUUAUUCAUUCAUAUCUUUAUUAGAGAUGACUCAUUGUUACUGGUAAAAGUACAUCAUGUUUUGGUAAGAGUCAAAAUACAUGACCAGGGUUUUUUAUGAAAGUACAUAUCAUUCACACACAUCCAUACACACAUUCACACUCACUAGAAGCUUUAGUACUUAUGAAGACAGAAUGCAGGAUAUAUAUUUAGUAACGUUUUGGAAUAGCAAAUGUUUAUAUUUUCAAAAGGUUUUCAUAAGGAGCCCAUUCCGUAUAGAAUUCAGUCUGUUUGGCUUUAUUAAAGUGUCUAUAUUUUUCUAUUUGGUAAUAAUAUUUAACCUCAUUUUGGAAAUGUGUAAUGGUUGGUUGGUUAUUUUUCAUCUAUAAAUGUGAAAUUUGGCCAAUAAGAGUAUCAGAUAAAAAAUAUCAUCGGUAUGGAAAUGUUUUGAAAAGCCAAAAAGAAUUAGGUCUGAAGUAAGAUUUAUCUUGCCAGUAUGUGGACACUUGGAUUCAAUCCAUUGUGAAAAUCUUUUCCAGAAGUUUUUGCUUAGCCUACAGUCCCAAAACAGAUGUUGGAUAGAUUCUGGCUCGGCAUUACAGAAAGUGCAUAGACAGUUGUCAACAAUAUGCAUCUUGAGUAGAUAAGUAUUAACAGGUAGAAUUCUGUGGAGCAAUCUAAGCUGAAAGCAUCUAAGUUUAGGGCCUGGAGUAGUUUUGUGUGCUCUGAUAAAUAAGCUAGGCCAGUUCAUAUCCAUUAAAAGUUCCUCUUCCCACUUGUCAAUAACUUUUAAGCUUUCAUCGGUUUGACUUAUUACAUAGUAGUAUUUCUUUGAGCCUUUUUUACAUGAAAAGAGAUUGGCAAUAGAUAUAUUUGUAUUGUUUGUUGUUUCCAGAUGCAGGUCUUUAUUAAUGCCUAAUUGUAUCCUGUAUGUAUUUACUGAUCUUGUAAUACCAUAAAAUUCAAGAAAAUUUAUAUUGAAGUAUUUCUUACAGAAUUGUUGCAAUGUCAUAAAAUUUCCAUCAUUGCUUAGCAAGCAAUGUAUGCUGUGUAUGUUAUUGAGAUGAAAGGUUUUGUUAUCUAAUGAUUUGCCAUUUAUAAUAAUAUUUUUAUUGUAUAGCAGAGGUUCCCUCAGGAACUCUUCAUAAUUAUUGGGUUUUAUUUUAUUGCUAUAUUUAGAAAAGGCAGUAAAACAAUCUUUCCAAAAUUGUUUUUUUUUUUUUUAGCAAGCUUAAGUGGAAAAUCACUUCCCAUAAAUAGUAAAUCAGGAAAUUCAGGAGUAGUAUUAGUCAUUAAAAUUUUCCAUUUCUUUUCCAAAUCAACAUUUAGUAACCUUUUUUAUCCAGAUUAUUUUCAAAGCAUCAACAUAUGCAAAAAUAUUUAUCAUACCAAGUCCUCCAAGGGAAAUAGGUUUACAAGCAACUGUUCUCUUUAUUUUGUCUGGUUUAUUAUCCCAUAAAAACUUGAAAAGAAUAGUAUUUAUCUUUCUAAGGAAUUCAUCUGGGGGACUAGGAAGGGUAAGGAAAAGGAAAUUAAGUUUUGAAAUGAGCAUUGAUUUGAUAAUUGUAAUUUUGCCUAAUGGGGUUAUAAUUCUUUUCAUCCAUCUCUUGGUGGUUUGUUCAAUUUCAAAGAUUUUGCUUUCAAAGUUAAGUUUAAUCAUUUUAUCUCGAUUAGUAGAAAAAACUCGUUGACAUGUACAUGGGUUUGACAUUUCAAUUGUGUAAUUUUCC
This is a long non-coding RNA of Haliotis rufescens (red abalone), 4009 nucleotides long. RefSeq lists it as uncharacterized. The record is from RefSeq and is a predicted model, not a curated record. The transcript is spliced from 4 exons. NCBI's taxonomy places the organism in Eukaryota, Metazoa, Mollusca, Gastropoda, Lepetellida, Haliotidae.